CAUCACGGUAGUUGGAGGGAUCCUUCUUUGUGUGAUUUCAGAUCUGGAUUUAGGAUUUAAGGGGGGCUGGAUUUGCUGUGGCGAUUCUUCUUCAGCUGAGGAUUGAAUGAGGAAGGCUAUUAAGGACUUUGAUGUGGGAUGUUCAUCACGAUGUGGGAUUUAUGUUAUCAUGAUCGACAGAUAAAGG
Molecule: long non-coding RNA, 187 nt
Organism: Zingiber officinale
Lineage: Eukaryota; Viridiplantae; Streptophyta; Magnoliopsida; Zingiberales; Zingiberaceae
Exons: 3
Source: RefSeq, a predicted model, not a curated record